CGACCGAUUGCUUCCCAUGUACAGCCUCGCAAGCCCAAAAGUAGGGGUGCGCGUCUUCGAUGGACUCGAAUUCUCAAAGGUCUCUCCAGCACCAGUUAGAAGCACCAGCAUUAGCUUCAUAAAAGCAUUUCUACGAGGGACCCAAGGCUCCUACUCUGCUCCAAUUGCAGCAAUGGAGGAUAUGAAAAAACCCAAGAAGAAGAGAAAGGCUCAGCCGAGGAAGAAGAGGAAAUUUAUCAACGAAAAUGAGGAAGGAAUUCCUGACAUUGAAGACAUUUUCAGCGACAAAGAAACCCAGAAGAUCAGGGAAUCAUUGUUGGACUGGUACGACCACAACCAGAGAGACCUUCCUUGGAGGAGGAAAGAAACAAACGCACUUGAAGAAGAAGAAGAAGAAGA
Molecule: unclassified non-coding RNA, 399 nt
Filed under: Hevea brasiliensis (rubber tree)
Lineage: Eukaryota; Viridiplantae; Streptophyta; Magnoliopsida; Malpighiales; Euphorbiaceae
Source: RNAcentral